This 253-nucleotide ribosomal RNA is filed under the name uncultured bacterium. RNAcentral describes it as "partial 16S ribosomal RNA". It matches the Rfam family "Bacterial small subunit ribosomal RNA", at positions 524 to 776 of the family's 1533-position model. The record is from RNAcentral.
UACGUAGGGUGCAAGCGUUGUCCGGAAUUAUUGGGCGUAAAGAGCUCGUAGGCGGUUUGUUGCGUCGGCUGUGAAAUCCCGAGGCUCAACCUCGGGUCUGCAGUCGAUACGAGCAAACUAGAGUGUUGCAGGGGAGACUGGAAUUCCUGGUGUAGCGGUGGAAUGCGCAGAUAUCAGGAGGAACACCGAUGGCGAAGGCAGAUCUCUGGGCCGUAACUGACGCUGAGGAGCGAAAGCGUGGGGAGCGAACGGG